RNAcentral lists this ribosomal RNA (427 nucleotides) under uncultured bacterium. RNAcentral describes it as "partial 16S ribosomal RNA". It matches the Rfam family "Bacterial small subunit ribosomal RNA", at positions 355 to 774 of the family's 1533-position model. The record is from RNAcentral.
UGGGGAAUAUUGGACAAUGGGCGAAAGCCUGAUCCAGCCAUGCCGCGUGUGUGAAGAAGGUCUUCGGAUUGUAAAGCACUUUAAGUUGGGAGGAAGGGCAUUAACCUAAUACGUUAGUGUUUUGACGUUACCGACAGAAUAAGCACCGGCUAACUCUGUGCCAGCAGCCGCGGUAAUACAGAGGGUGCAAGCGUUAAUCGGAAUUACUGGGCGUAAAGCGCGCGUAGGUGGUUUGUUAAGUUGGAUGUGAAAUCCCCGGGCUCAACCUGGGAACUGCAUUCAAAACUGACUGACUAGAGUAUGGUAGAGGGUGGUGGAAUUUCCUGUGUAGCGGUGAAGUGCGUAGAUAUAGGAAGGAACACCAGUGGCGAAGGCGACCACCUGGACUAAUACUGACACUGAGGUGCGAAAGCGUGGGGAGCAAACA